This 527-nucleotide ribosomal RNA is filed under the name uncultured bacterium. RNAcentral's name for it is "bacterial SSU rRNA". It matches the Rfam family "Bacterial small subunit ribosomal RNA", at positions 28 to 526 of the family's 1533-position model. The record is from RNAcentral.
GACGAACGCUGGCGGCGUGCCUAAUACAUGCAAGUUGAACGCUAAAGCUUUAACUGGUGCUUGCACCGACUUAAGUUUUUAGAGUAGCGGACGGGUGAGUAACACGUGGGUAACCUGCCCAUCAGAGGGGGAUAACACUUGGAAACAGGUGCUAAUACCGCAUAAUUCCUUUUACCGCAUGGUAAAAGGCUGAAAGGCGCUUCUGGUGUCACUGAUGGAUGGACCCGCGGUGCAUUAGCUAGUCGGUGGGGUAACGGCCUACCGAGGCGAUGAUGCAUAGCCGACCUGAGAGGGUGAUCGGCCACAUUGGGACUGAGACACGGCCCAAACUCCUACGGGAGGCAGCAGUAGGGAAUCUUCGGCAAUGGACGAAAGUCUGACCGAGCAACGCCGCGUGAGUGAAGAAGGUUUUCGGAUCGUAAAACUCUGUUGUAAGGGAAGAACACGUACGAGAGGUAAUGCUCGUACCUUGACGGUACCUUACGAGAAAGCCACGGCUAACUACGUGCCAGCCGCCGCAGUAACAC